This is a long non-coding RNA of Helianthus annuus (common sunflower), 823 nucleotides long. RefSeq lists it as uncharacterized. The record is from RefSeq and is a predicted model, not a curated record. NCBI's taxonomy places the organism in Eukaryota, Viridiplantae, Streptophyta, Magnoliopsida, Asterales, Asteraceae. The transcript is spliced from 3 exons.
CACGGAUCAUGAUCCCCACAGCUAUCCUACAAUCCCUACUUUUGUACAGCUUUUGUGACAUUUGAAUUUUGAAACAGGGGUACAACAUCGAUUUGAGGAUUUGGCUCCAUCUUCUCUCUUUCUCAUGUAUACUGAACGGGUCCAUCUUUUCUCUCUUUCUCAGAACACCACCGAUUUGAAGAUUAAAUCUGGGAGAUAUAACGUCGAAUAAGUUCGUUCUUCCGAUUCAACAACCAUCAGUUUAUAGGGAAUCAAGUCUGCAAAGAUCGGUGGCUACAGAGAAGAGUUCCUGGCUAUAGAUGGUGAUUGAGGUAGGUUCCGACAGACAAACGGAGGUACGUCCGACGACCUCCUUUUAAUUUGUUUAGGUCACACACUUUAGUUUUUGAAUCUGAUGUUUGUGUUUGUUUUAAACUUGCAGAUCUAGGGUUUUACUUUAAUUUUUGGAUUUUAUUUAACUACAAUUCGUGAACCAAAUGGGAUAAAUGCGGUUAGUUUAAUGAGCAGGGUGCUCAGAAAUAUAUUCAAGUUAAAGGGGUGUACUUAUAAAAGUUUUUAUUGUGAUUUUCGAACCAUUAUAUGGGAUUCUUAUGCAAAUAAUUGCAGAUGUAGGCUUAAGUAAUGGUAGAGAUUUCCCACUAGCGCACUCUUUUUAACUUUGAUGAUGGGGUAUCGACAUAUUGAUUGUGCCCCAAGUGUAUGGCAACGAGAAGGAGGUAUAAAGUUUCUUGCUUCUGUACACCAUAAUUUUUCUGUAUUAUUCUGUUUGAAUGAUGAAGAUGUUUCUGUAAAUUGUAUUUGAUAAUUGGAUGAAAAUGAUUUU